AAGGAAUAUUGGACAAUGGUGGCAACACUGAUCCAGCCAUGCCGCGUGAAGGAUGACGGCCCUAUGGGUUGUAAACUUCUUUUGUACGGGAAAAAACCUCUUUACGUGUAAAGAGCUGAUUGUACUGUAAGAAUAAGGAUCGGCUAACUCCGUGCCAGCAGCCGCGGUAAUACGGAGGAUCCAAGCGUUAUCCGGAUUCAUUGGGUUUAAAGGGUGCGUAGGCGGAAUGAUAAGUCAGUGGUGAAAGCCUGCAGCUUAACUGCAGAACUGCCAUUGAUACUGUCAAUCUUGAGUACAUUUGAUGUGGGCGGAAUGUGUCAUGUAGCGGUGAAAUGCUUAGAUAUGACACAGAACACCGAUUGCGAAGGCAGCUCACAAAACUGUAACUGACGCUGAGGCACGAAAGCGUGGGUAUCAAAC
RNAcentral lists this ribosomal RNA (420 nucleotides) under uncultured bacterium. Its description in RNAcentral is "bacterial SSU rRNA". It matches the Rfam family "Bacterial small subunit ribosomal RNA", at positions 356 to 773 of the family's 1533-position model. The record is from RNAcentral.